Molecule: ribosomal RNA, 400 nt
Filed under: uncultured bacterium
Lineage: Bacteria
Description: bacterial SSU rRNA
Rfam family: Bacterial small subunit ribosomal RNA
Source: RNAcentral
CAGGCCUAACACAUGCAAGUCGAACGCCCCAUCGCUCGGGAGUGGCAGACGGGUUACUAUCACCUGGGAACAUACCCUUUGGUACGGAACCACCCCUGGAAACUGGUGCCUAUAUCGGGUACGCCCUCUGGGGGAAAGGCUUCCCGCCGAAGGAGUGGCCCGGAUUCUAUUACCUAUAUGGCUGGGUGACUGGCCGACCUGGCGACCAUCCACUGCUGGGCUCAUAGGAUUGGCAACCCGAUUGGGAAUGAGACACCGGCCCCAAUCCUACGGGAUGCAACAGUGAGGAAUAUUGGACCAUGGGGGCGAUCCUCAUCCGACCCUGCCGCGUCAGUGAUUAAAGCCUUACGGUUGGUAGCUCUUUCGACUCGACAAUAAUGACGGUAGCCUGAGAAGAACC